AAUAAGUGCAGUUAUGUACUGUGCAUGUCCAACAUUUAACCGUUCGUCUUUUUCUUUUAUGAUUAGUAUUUUUAUUGUUAUUAUAUGAUAAAACAUAAAUAAUACAUGUAUGACUAAUUUUUUAAAUAAAACGGACGGUCAAAUAUUUUACACGGAUACCCACGAUUUUGCGUGGA
Molecule: microRNA precursor, 176 nt
Filed under: Oryza glumipatula
Lineage: Eukaryota; Viridiplantae; Streptophyta; Magnoliopsida; Poales; Poaceae
Description: MIR812 microRNA precursor family
Rfam family: MIR812 microRNA precursor family
Source: Rfam by way of RNAcentral